This 71-nucleotide transfer RNA is filed under the name Dipodomys ordii (Ord's kangaroo rat). It matches the Rfam family "tRNA". From Rfam's summary of the family: Transfer RNA (tRNA) molecules are approximately 80 nucleotides in length. Their secondary structure includes four short double-helical elements and three loops (D, anti-codon, and T loops). The record is from Rfam by way of RNAcentral. Lineage: Eukaryota; Metazoa; Chordata; Mammalia; Rodentia; Heteromyidae.
GAAGGUGGUUCAGUGGUAAAGUACUUGCCUUGCAUGCAUGAGGCCCUGGGUUCGAGUCCUCAGCACCCUCA